RNAcentral lists this ribosomal RNA (247 nucleotides) under uncultured bacterium. Its description in RNAcentral is "partial small subunit ribosomal RNA". It matches the Rfam family "Bacterial small subunit ribosomal RNA", at positions 26 to 280 of the family's 1533-position model. The record is from RNAcentral.
AGGAUGAACGCUGGCGGCGUGCUUAAUACAUGCAAGUCGAACGGUACUCGUAAGAGUAUAGUGGCAAACGGGUGAGUAACGCGUUGGUGACCUGCCUCAAAGAGAGGGAUAACAGAUCGAAAAGAUCUGCUAAUACCGCAUGUGUUCACGGGAGUUAGAGAGCCGUGAAGAAAGCCGAAAGGCACUUUGAGAGGGACCUGCGUCCCAUCAGCUAGUUGGUGAGGUAAUGGCCCACCAAGGCGAUGAC